GUCUUUUUGGUUAAUAAUUUAAAGUUUAAUUUGCCCCCUGAUUGAUAAUUAAAGGGCUGCAGUAUAUUGACUGUACAAAGGUAGCAUAAUCAUUAGUCUUUUAAUUGAAGACUUGUAUGAAAGAUUUGAUGAAAUAUAAACUGUCUCUAAAUUAAUUAUAGAAAUUAAUUUUUUAAUUAAAAAGUUAAAAUAAUUUAAAAAGACGAGAAGACCCUAUAGAGUUUUAUAAUAAUUAAAAAUUUGGGUUAUGUAUAUAAAUAAUAAAUUUAAAAUUUUAUUAUUAUUUUAUUGGGGUGAUAGAAAAAUUUAAUUAACUUUUUUUAAAAAAAAAUCAUAAAUAAGUGAAUAAAUGAUCCAUAAAUAGUGAUUAAAAGAAAAAAUUACCUUAGGGAUAACAGCGUAAUUUUUUUUUUUAGUACAAAUAAAAAAAAAAGGUUGCGACCUCGAUGUUGGAUUAAGAUAAAAUUUAAAUGCAAAAGUUUAAAAUUUUGAUCUGUUCGAUCAUUAAAAUCUUACAU
RNAcentral lists this ribosomal RNA (518 nucleotides) under Dione juno. RNAcentral's name for it is "partial 16S ribosomal RNA". The stretch from base 391 to 518 matches the Rfam family "Bacterial large subunit ribosomal RNA", at positions 2473 to 2601 of the family's 2925-position model. The record is from RNAcentral. Lineage: Eukaryota; Metazoa; Arthropoda; Insecta; Lepidoptera; Nymphalidae.